CAAUAGCGUCUAUUAAAGUUGUUGCAGUUAAAAAGCUCGUAGUUGGAUUUCUGGUGGGAGCGAUCGGUCUGGCGCUUAGCGCGAGUACUUGCAUCGUCUCCGGCCAUCCUUGGGGAGAGUCUGUCUGGCAUUAGGUUGUCGGGCAGAGGAUCCUCAUCGUUUACUGUGAAAAAAUUAGAGUGUUCAAAGCAGGCUUAUGCCGUUGAAUAUAUUAGCAUGGAAUAAUAAGAUAGGACUUUGGUACUAUUUUGUUGGUUUGCGCACCAAAGUAAUGAUUAAUAGGGACAGUUGGGGGUAUUCGUAUUCCGUUGUCAGAGGUGAAAUUCUUGGAUUUACGGAAGACGAACUACUGCGAAAGCAUUUACCAAGGAUGUUUUCAUUAA
This 383-nucleotide ribosomal RNA is filed under the name uncultured eukaryote. Its description in RNAcentral is "partial 18S ribosomal RNA". It matches the Rfam family "Eukaryotic small subunit ribosomal RNA", at positions 592 to 976 of the family's 1831-position model. The record is from RNAcentral.